This 496-nucleotide ribosomal RNA is filed under the name uncultured bacterium. Its description in RNAcentral is "partial 16S ribosomal RNA". It matches the Rfam family "Bacterial small subunit ribosomal RNA", at positions 29 to 507 of the family's 1533-position model. The record is from RNAcentral.
AUGAACGCUGGCGGCGUGCCUAAUACAUGCAAGUCGAGCGCACAGAUGAGGAGCUUGCUCCUCUGACGUUAGCGGCGGACGGGUGAGUAACACGUGGAUAACCUACCUAUAAGACUGGGAUAACUUCGGGAAACCGGAGCUAAUACCGGAUAAUAUAUUGAACCGCAUGGUUCAAUAGUGAAAGUCGGUUUUGCUGUCACUUAUAGAUGGAUCCGCGCCGCAUUAGCUAGUUGGUAAGGUAACGGCUUACCAAGGCAACGAUGCGUAGCCGACCUGAGAGGGUGAUCGGCCACACUGGAACUGAGACACGGUCCAUACUCCUACGGGAGGCAGCAGUAGGGAAUCUUCCGCAAUGGGCGAAAGCCUGACGGAGCAACGCCGCGUGAGUGAUGAAGGUCUUCGGAUCGUAAAACUCUGUUAUUAGGGAAGAACAAAUUUGUAAGUAACUAUGCACGUCUUGACGGUACCUAAUCAGAAAGCCACGGCUAACUACGUG